CCUACAUGUUCCCUACUCUUUAGCUUUAAGGACUUGGUGUUGAUUGAUAGUACCCUUCCCCCUGAGUCAGCUCCCAGGCAUGUGAAGGAGAGGCGGGUGGGGUUUAUACAAAUUCCAUUUCCCAACUUUCUCACAGCUAAUCUAGAUUAGUCUUGGGCUUCUGAACAGUGCAAACAAGUCCUCAGGGAAAAGAAUAUGUAACUUAUAAUUUUCUGUUAGGGGGUGAAGGAUGAAGAAACAGUAAGGAAACAAACAAUAAAUUGAGGAUAAAAACUGGGGUUCUGGAGACGAUGCGAGUAAUCCAGGAAAGUUUGAACUCUCAGAUCUGUCAGUUAACAGCGUUAUAAAUGAAGAACUGAACAGAGCUCUGGUUUGGACAGAUCAAACAGUAUGGUUUCAUGUUUAUGUGUCAAAAAUAUAACUCCUUCCUCUCUGUGGAUGUCUUUAUCCUUGUCUUCUCACCCCAGCCGAGGAUGCAGAGAGAUGCACACAAACACCCUGUAUUGCAACAAG
This 513-nucleotide long non-coding RNA is filed under the name Androctonus crassicauda. The record is from RNAcentral. Lineage: Eukaryota; Metazoa; Arthropoda; Arachnida; Scorpiones; Buthidae.